Long non-coding RNA from Cygnus atratus (black swan), 2859 nucleotides. RefSeq lists it as uncharacterized. The transcript has 9 exons. Lineage: Eukaryota; Metazoa; Chordata; Aves; Anseriformes; Anatidae. The record is from RefSeq and is a predicted model, not a curated record.
CCUGCUGCUGUCAUUCCCUCCCGAAUCACCCAGCGCAGCCUUCCCACGGGGGUGACCCCUCACAGGCCAGCCCCACAACACUGGACGGUGACUCCACCACCUCCCUGGGCAACCCGUCCCAAGGCCUGACUGCUCUUUCUGAGAAGAAAUGUCUCCUCAUUUCCAACCUGAACCUCCCCUGGCACAACCUGAGGCCGUUUUAUGAUUGAUACUUUCCUGGACACUCAGCUAUCCAGAAUGCUAGCAUCCCAGGUACAUGCUGUGGUCCUGCUCCUGACACGGCUCUUUUGCCAUAGGGGAAGCCCACGAGGAAGGCUGCCUUUCUGAAGACUGGAUCCAUUGAACUCAAGGGAAGUAAUCCCAGCUGACUUGGACGACUCUAAACCAGGUGACAGCAUGCUCACUGGGCUAGUCAAAGGCCAAGGUGGUCUCCAGCCCUUUGAAGUCACAUUUCAAGUCACUGAGCUCAUCUUCUAGCAUCUGUGUGCUACUACUCCUGACAGCUCUGUCAUAGCUGGGAUUUGGCUCGUUGCAGAUGUUAAAGGUGCACAGACCAAAACCAAAAUCUUGUAUCUUGUAAAGGUCAGUGGAGUCAAGCGGCAGCUCUGAUGACUUCUUACUGUUCACCAACCCUGGAGGGAUUAUGCUGGAUUCAAGCUCUGCAGGACGUGAGCAGCAGCAUCCCCUCGCAGCGACUGUCCCACAUCUCAGCUGGCACAGGCUAACAUUAUUGAGAAGUGGCUCUUCCCAUUGCCGAGGUUGUCUGCUGUGAUCCCACCUUGAUGCAUCGCGGAUUGGGAACGGGCACAAGAAGCGGUUUCUGCAGCAGGAGACAGACCAAGAGGUUAUUAUACCAAAUGCCCUAAUCAGGGCACAACAUGAGCUUUUUGGCUGCAGACUGAGGGUUCUUCUAGGUUUCAAUUCCUGAGCACAUUUUGAGUGUAUCACUUUAGAAAAAAAAGCCAUUUUGGGGAUGAGUUGCUCAGGCUACCGAGAUUCUGACAUAGCAGCUGCAUCAAUGUAAGUGGGAUUGAACACCCAAACCUUUUCAACAUUUAUUGAAAAACUUGUCCUGGCUGUCUUUCCUGUCCUGAGGAGAUGUAAGCAAUUGACAUGAGGCAGCUCAACCCUUCAGUUUGAAAAGGAUUGGUUUUACUCCAGUGGCAGCCCUGCCAGAACAAGAGGGACCUCGCCGCGCAUUGAUCAAGAUACAGGAAGACAGCUUUCUUUCCUCACCCUGGCCUGCCUAAGGAGAAGUCACUUGCAAUCCUCUUCUUCCCGGACAUGAAGCAACAACCCCUCCACUGCACUGAACCUGUUUCAAUCCCUAGCCAAGUACAUGGUUCCUGUGAGUAGAUUUCUUAUUCUGGAAACAGAGGAUUGAGCAGGGAAGGCUGCAUUAAAGGGAGUGAAUCACUUGAACACAAAGUGCCAUUUUCAAUAAAUUCAGGUUUAUUCUUGGAGAUAAUCUGGUAGAAGAGGUGAUAACCUCUCUCCUCUGCUUCCUGGGAAAUGACACGUCUUCUCUAGAUCUGAAACAUGGGGAGAAAUCAUCCAGGUGCAGGUGGCAGCCAGAGAUUGAAAAAUUGCAGCCCCAUGUCAGUGGGACUGUACGUUUUGAUACCAGUGAAACCAGCAGUUCAGCAGUGUCCUUUGGAAGUCCUGUAAGUGCAGCAUAGCUCAUAAUAUCCUUCACUGAUGCUCUCCGAGAAUGCUUUUAAGCUUCACAACAGUUCCCUUUGGGAUAAGUUUUAGUACAGCUAUUUUGGCAGCUCGUGACGUGGAGGCGAAAAGAUGCCAUCGCUUUUCCAGUUGUGUCAGUGCUGGGUUCAGGAACAGGUCUCCAGACUGACUCAUCCCACUGCUAAGCAUCCUCUGAAUUGCCAGUGCAAGGUUUGGAGACUGAUCUGUGAAAUGCCUCCCUGUACUGCCCUUUCUUUCUGAGAAGAGCUCUGGAAAAGAUGUUUUGUGUGCUGUAAACUCUCUGCCAAUACCUCCUGUCAGGCCCUAACAUGGUUAGUUUGACUUCUGGUAUUGACAAAAAGCACACUUCCCCAGACCUCGGGGUAGCGAUUCAUUCGGCUGUACCAAAUAACCAGACCUCGCUGGCUGUCCUAGCUGGGCAUUUUCAUCUUUGCCUCUCGGCUGAAGUCGUCUGUCCACAUAGGUCUGUAGGUGAAAGGGAUCGUGUGAGUUCUUCAGACAAAUUUGGGCUGGAUCGAACCACCUUCACUGUUAAUUGUAGCUAGUCCAGGUGACUUCAAGAAGCACUGAUGCAAUCCCUGCCAGCAGAGCUCCAGCGAGGGUGCAGAAGGGCCCUGACAGUGCUGCUGCUUGCACAGUGAGGGUCUGUCCAUGCCCUCGCUCUCCUGGCCAGGCUGGAAGGAGGGGCAAGCUGCCAGAAAACAACCUGAAACCUGCCUUGGCCCGCGGUCCAGAGAGGCAAACCCAACAUAUGGUCUCUUGGUGUGAUGCAAAUCUGGGAUGAGUUGAAAGUAGGAGGGAUGCAGACAAUCCCACAUUAAAGAAUAACCGGUCCAUAUGUUUCCUCUCUCCUUUUUCUGCAUGCUAAAGGGCUUUAGUCAGGAAGCAUAAUGGGGUCUUUUUACCUUGCGAGCUGGGAUUUGAGGUUCUCAAUUUAGUCUUAGGUGCACGUGUGCAAACAAAGAACAAUACACCUUCCCUGGACUGUUAUUUUUAGGAUCUUGAUUGCAAGACAAUUAUAAUGUUGUGCUGAUGAAUGUGAGUAACGGUUGCAAUGUAAUUGUAGAAGGAAAAGUGCACAGCUUUGGGGGGAAGCAUUGUGCCUUUUACGUGUUCACACAGAGCCUCGGAGUCAACUAAAGAAAGAAGAAAUAA